Homo sapiens (human) is the source of this 3581-nucleotide long non-coding RNA. RefSeq lists it as uncharacterized. The record is from RefSeq and is a predicted model, not a curated record. NCBI's taxonomy places the organism in Eukaryota, Metazoa, Chordata, Mammalia, Primates, Hominidae. The transcript has 2 exons.
GGGACCUCCGCUUUCCAGGCUGCCUUUUAUACUGCCUCUGGUCACCUGACAUGGAACGUACCCUAACCUAAUCAGUUACCUGUACCUUAAUUGCAAUUAACUUAAUCCAAUUACAUGACCUGGAAAGGUCUAUCUGCACAGCCCACUCUAAGAUCAUGUCCACUGCUGACAGACAUUCUAAAACCUACUUGUACAGCUGCAAGCUUUGAACAAUAGAUGUUCCCCGUCAGACAUGUAACACUGGUGCCUGUACCCCUGUCUUCUUUUCCAUCUUUUUUGUUGUUUUGUUUUGUUUUGUUUUAAAAAAUGUGGUAAAAUAGACACCUUUUAAUUGGACCACAUUUUGUCUAUCUCGACGUAGGCCUCAGUGUCAUCAAGGAGACUCUCCUUGACAUGCAGUCACGGCCAUGAUCCAUCUUCAGAGCUUCUCUUUCUUCCCCAAGGCCUCAGUGUCAUCAAGGAGACUCUCCUUGACAUGCAGUCACGGCCAUGAUCCAUCUUCAGAGCUUCUCUUUCUUCCCCAAGGUAAGUCUGUCAGCAGAGAACCCUGACCGCACCCUCAUGUGUUUUCUCCCCCAGGAGGCGCUUGGAAACAACCGUGAAUUGGACCGCACUGGGAAACACAGAUGAGGAAAGUCAACAACGCUUUGUCCUUCAGUGCCUGGCUCCUUUUUCAGCUCCUCUUGCGACUCCAGGCAUUAUGCCUGAAAAGUCUCCCGGACGCCUGUGAGGCUCUAAUUCCCUGGGUCCCAUUGCCAUGUCUCUGGAUUUGCGAAGAUCCACCGCACCUUCUGUGGAACUCCCGUGUCGGUGAACUUUUGUGCCACGGCCCCUAAUUCUGCCCAUGGUCAUCCGCACCUGCACGACUUAGGGUCCAUGUUCCUUGGACGGGAAGAGACAGGCAGGAGUCGGAAUGAUGAACCAGCACACUGGGGCGUUUUCUCAUGUAGCCCAAGGGACCCCAAGGUCUUCUCGAGCUUUGGAACCAGUCGCGUCCCCUUUGACACUGCACCCGGCUCCCAGUCACUCAAUCUUGUUGGCCCUCCGGCGAUCUCCCGUUGGAUGAAUUGCUCCUGCUGAAACUCGAGUCCCCUUUGAUUUGCGCUUCAUUAAUUAUUCAUGAUUCAGGUUGGAAGGCCUGCUGACGACCCCCUGUGGCCGUUCUCUGAGCUUUCCUGUCACAUCGUUUCCUUCCACGCUCUUUGGUUCCUUACGGUCCUGCUCCUUCUGCUGUCAGAGGAGCAGAGAGUUGAUCUUAUUCAUUCUGGAUACGGAUACUUUCUAGUUGAUCUGGAUAAUCAAGAUAACGACCCUCAACAGCGGCGGAGAGGGAGCAGCCAGUUGGUGUGUCUCAGAAAAUCCCGCUGAGUUCCGAGGCCUCCUAGAUGUGGAAUCCUGCUGAGAGUUGUUCCCAGGUCAGAGAAUGGAGAGAGCCUGUGCAUGAUGGGAUAUCCCCGCCUAGAUCUUUCAGUGAGUCUCUGCCUCAGCUACUCUUAGGAUUAGGGGGAGAACCAUGGUGUCAGACAUCCGGAAAGAAGACGGGAUGAAUGUUUUACCUCUGAAGUACAUCCCAAAUGUGGGAGUUAACUUCAGCUUUGCUGGGGUCUAUUUGGCCAGUGAAACUCUGCCUGGUUCCUUCGCACAUCCGGAAGCCACUUCACGGGGGGCCGUCGCAACUGGAACCACACACUUGGCAUCGGCGGUUGAGCCAAAUGGGGACUCGUGGUGCAAGCAACGCUCCCCACGUGUUAGCGUGCGUGAGAUGCGGUUGGCGGAAUUUUACUAGGUGCGUGUUGGUAGAGUGGGGCUGAGGUUUUCUUGCUCCUGUGGAUGUAUAGGAAGUCAAAGGUCCUGCCCAGCCCUGCGGUCCCCUCAGUCAACUCUGUUUCGGAGACGUAACGAUUUGGAUUGCCAACAAGUCAAGAAAUGUUCAAGCCCUUGGAUGUAGGGUAAAGAAAGAGAGAUCAGACUGUCACUGUGUCUAUGUAGAAGGGGAAGACAUAAGAGACUCCAUUUUGAAAAAGACCUGUAGUUUAAACAAUUGCUUUGCUGAGAUGUUGUUCAUUUGUUGCCUUGCCGCAGCCCCUUCCUUUGACCCAACUUGGAGCUCACAAAAACCUGUGUUGUAUAAAAUCGAGGUUUAAGGGAUCUAGGGCUGUGCAGGACGUGCUUUGUUAACCAAAUGUUUGCGAGCAGUAUACUUGGUAAAAGUCAUUGCCAUUCUCUAGUUUCAAUAAACCAGGGGCACUAUGCACCGUCGAAAGCCGCAGCGACCUCUGCCCUUGAAAGCAGGUUAUUGUCCAAGGUUUCUCCCCAUGUAACAGUCUGAAAUAUGGCCCCGUGGGAUGUUAAAGACCUGACUGGCCCCCAGCCUGAGACCCGUAAAGGGUCUGUGUCGAGGUGGAUUAGUCAAAGAGGAAAGCCUCUUGCAAUUUAGAUGGAGGACAGCCGCUGUCUCCCGCAGCCCCUCUUGCCUCCCUGGCUCUUAGGACCCCCAUCGCAGGGUGUGAGGCACUCCCCCCGUUUCGGGUUGUAAGAGCCAAACCCUCUUGCCCCCCUGGCUCUUAGUUUCCCCCAUCGCAGCGGGGUGAGUCACGUCCUGCUAUGCUUGGGGUAAGAGCCAGCCCCUCUUGCCCCCCUGGCUCUCAGGACCCCCAUCGCAGUGGUGUGAGGCACGCCCCUUGAUGCGGGUAUUAAGAGCCUUCCCAUCUUACCUCCUGGCUCUUAGGACCCCCAUCGCAGGGGGUGAGGCACGCCCCGCCAUGCGGAGAGUAAGAGCUAACCCCUCUUGCCCCCCUGGUUUUUAGGAUCCGCGGUGGACUCACAGCCUGUUUAUCAUAUUGUGAGUAAUAUCGUCUCCCGCUCUGGAGAUUGUGAACUGUUUCACCCACCGGUGUUCACCCCGGCGUACAGAGGUUGUACACCCGUCUGUAUUGGGAGUCAUAUCAUCCUCUUCCUCUCUGAAUAUUAAGAACAGUAUCACAGGGGUGUUUCUACUCCCUGGGAUAUCGCGUGUCAUAUCAUCCUCUCCCACGUUGCAAUUAGAAACAAUAUCAGUGGGGGCGUGUCCACCUUCUGUGAUACUGAAAGUAAUAUCAUCCUCUUCCCUCCAGGAUCGUGGGAACAAUAUCCUUGGGGGUGUCCACUUUCUGCCAUAUGUGUAGUCAUAUCACCCCCUCCGCCUUGGAAUAUUAUUAAGAACCAUGUCACACGGGGGUGUACACUUCCUACGAUGUUGGGAGUAAUAGCAUUCUCUUCUUCCAUGAAUAUUAGGAACAAAAUCACCGGGUGGAUGCACACCCAGUGCUAUAUUGGGAGUAAUGUCAUACUCCACCCCCUGGAGAUUAUAUUCGGAUCAAUAUCACCGGCUGGGUGUGCACCUGCUGCGAUAUUGAACAUAAUAUCAUGCUCUCUCACUCCCUGAACUUUAGGAACAAUAUCACAGGUGAGUGUACACCCACUGAGGUAUUAGGGCAUACUAUUAGUAUGAAUUAUUCCUUGUUUUUUAUUAACAUGAAUAUGAAUGGCCGAUAUUAAUAUUAAUAUUAAGAAGUAAUUGCUAAUAAAAAGUUCUCAGAUUA